This 417-nucleotide ribosomal RNA is filed under the name uncultured archaeon. RNAcentral's name for it is "partial 16S ribosomal RNA". It matches the Rfam family "Archaeal small subunit ribosomal RNA", at positions 330 to 747 of the family's 1478-position model. The record is from RNAcentral.
GUGCAGCAGGCGCGAAAACUUCGCAAUACGCGCAAGCGUGACGAGGGAACCCCAAGUACUCUUGCUUUUUGCAGGAGUUUUUGCCAAGUGUAAACAGCUUGGAGAAUAAGGGCGGGGUAAGGCCGGUGCCAGCCGCCGCGGUAAUACCGGCCGCCCGAGUAGUGACCACUAUUAUUGGGCCUAAAGCGUCCGUAGCCGGCUGUGCAAGUCCUCCGUUAAAUCCAGUGAUUUAAUCGUUGGAUUGCGGGGGAUACUGUUCGGCUAGGUGAUGGGAGAAGCCAACGGUAUUCCCGGGGUAGGGGUGAAAUCCUAUAAUCCCGGGAGGAACACCAGUGGCGAAGGCGUUCUGCGAGAACGGGCUCGACGGUGAGGGACGAAAGCCAGGGGCGCAAACGGGAUUAGAUACCCGGGUAGUCC